AUUGAUGAAACAGGUGAGGUGAAACCAAACCGACAGCAGGCAGAGUGAAGCAGGAGGCCCGGUGGAACAGCGGCCUGUGCGAUAAAGCAGAUGAUGACAGGUGGAGACGGAUGUUUGCCUCGGGGGAAACGCGUUGAAUGCCAGACCCGGCCUGUCGAUGACUUCAUUUCCCCUCCUUUACCUGGGUCGCGCUGCCUCACUCAGCAGAAAACAAAGCGACUCCGUUAGACCCCACAGGAUGCUGGGAUUACUCUACAGAACCCUCCACUAGGCUCCCUGCCUGACUGAUAAGACAAUAUAAAGACUGUGGAACUGA
Long non-coding RNA from Perca fluviatilis (European perch), 316 nucleotides. RefSeq lists it as uncharacterized. Lineage: Eukaryota; Metazoa; Chordata; Actinopteri; Perciformes; Percidae. The record is from RefSeq and is a predicted model, not a curated record. The transcript is spliced from 2 exons.